UUACGGGAGGCAGCAGUGGGGAAUUUUGCGCAAUGGGCGAAAGCCUGACGCAGCAACGCCGCGUGGAGGAUGAAGGCCUUCGGGUCGUAAACUCCUGUCAGGGGGGACGAAUACCUUAACCGGUUUGACUGUACCCCCUGAGGAAGCCACGGCUAACUCCGUGCCAGCAGCCGCGGUAAUACGGAGGUGGCAAGCGUUGUUCGGAAUUACUGGGCGUAAAGGGCGCGUAGGCGGCUUGGCAAGUCAGAUGUGAAAGCCCCGGGCUUAACUCGGGAAUUGCAUCUGAAACUGCUUUGCUUGAGUCCUGGAGGGGGUAGUGGAAUUCCCAGUGUAGCGGUGAAAUGCGUAGAUAUUGGGAGGAACACCUGCGGCGAAGGCGGCUACCUGGACAGUGACUGACGCUGAUGCGCGAAAGCUAGGGGAGCAAACGGGAUUAGAUACCCGCGUAA
RNAcentral lists this ribosomal RNA (449 nucleotides) under uncultured bacterium. RNAcentral describes it as "bacterial SSU rRNA". It matches the Rfam family "Bacterial small subunit ribosomal RNA", at positions 339 to 793 of the family's 1533-position model. The record is from RNAcentral.